RNAcentral lists this transfer RNA (75 nucleotides) under Pantoea sp. Eser. RNAcentral describes it as "tRNA-Gln". It matches the Rfam family "tRNA". Rfam says of the family: Transfer RNA (tRNA) molecules are approximately 80 nucleotides in length. Their secondary structure includes four short double-helical elements and three loops (D, anti-codon, and T loops). Further hydrogen bonds mediate the characteristic L-shaped molecular structure. tRNAs have two regions of fundamental functional importance: the anti-codon, which is responsible for specific mRNA codon recognition, and the 3' end, to which the tRNAs corresponding amino acid is attached (by aminoacyl-tRNA synthetases). tRNAs cope with the degeneracy of the genetic code in two manners: having more than one tRNA (with a specific anti-codon) for a particular amino acid; and 'wobble' base-pairing, i.e. permitting non-standard base-pairing at the 3rd anti-codon position. The record is from RNAcentral. Lineage: Bacteria; Pseudomonadati; Pseudomonadota; Gammaproteobacteria; Enterobacterales; Erwiniaceae.
UGGGAUAUCGCCAAGCGGUAAGGCACCGGUUUUUGAUACCGGCAUUCUUUGGUUCGAAUCCCUGCACCCCAGCCA